GACGAACGCUGGCGGCGUGCUUAACACAUGCAAGUCGAACGGAAAGGCCCUGCUUUUGUGGGGUGCUCGAGUGGCGAACGGGUGUGUAACACGUGAGUAACCUGCCCUUGACUUUGGGAUAACUUCCGGAAACUGGGGCUAAUACCGGAUAUGCGCCCCUGCUGCAUGGUGGGGGUUGGAGAGUUUCGGUGGUUGGGGAUGGACUCGCGGCUUAUCAGCUUGUUGGUGGGGUAGUGGCUUACCAAGGCUUUGACGGGUAGCCGGCCUGAGAGGGUGACCGGCCACAUUGGGACUGAGAUACGGCCCAGACUCCUACGGGAGGCAGCAGUGGGGAAUAUUGCACAAUGGGCGGAAGCCUGAUGCAGCAACGCCGCGUGCGGGAUGACGGCCUUCGGGUUGUAAACCGCUUUCGCCUGGGACGAAGCGUGAGUGACGGUAAUGGGUAAAGAAGCACCGGCUAACUACGUG
RNAcentral lists this ribosomal RNA (468 nucleotides) under uncultured bacterium. RNAcentral describes it as "partial 16S ribosomal RNA". It matches the Rfam family "Bacterial small subunit ribosomal RNA", at positions 28 to 507 of the family's 1533-position model. The record is from RNAcentral.